AUUGAACGCUGGCGGCAGGCCUAACACAUGCAAGUCGAGCGGAUGAAGGGAGCUUGCUCCUGGAUUCAGCGGCGGACGGGUGAGUAAUGCCUAGGAAUCUGCCUGGUAGUGGGGGAUAACGUCCGGAAACGGGCGCUAAUACCGCAUACGUCCUGAGGGAGAAAGUGGGGGAUCUUCGGACCUCACGCUAUCAGAUGAGCCUAGGUCGGAUUAGCUAGUUGGUGGGGUAAAGGCCUACCAAGGCGACGAUCCGUAACUGGUCUGAGAGGAUGAUCAGCCACACUGGAACUGAGACACGGUCCAGACUCCUACGGGAGGCAGCAGUGGGGAAUAUUGGACAAUGGGCGAAAGCCUGAUCCAGCCAUGCCGCGUGUGUGAAGAAGGUCUUCGGAUUGUAAAGCACUUUAAGUUGGGAGGAAGGGCAGUAAGUUAAUACCUUGCUGUUUUGACGGUACCAACAGAAUAAGCACCGGCUAACUACGUG
RNAcentral lists this ribosomal RNA (484 nucleotides) under uncultured bacterium. Its description in RNAcentral is "partial 16S ribosomal RNA". It matches the Rfam family "Bacterial small subunit ribosomal RNA", at positions 30 to 507 of the family's 1533-position model. The record is from RNAcentral.